Small nucleolar RNA from Dipodomys ordii (Ord's kangaroo rat), 131 nucleotides. The record is from Ensembl. Lineage: Eukaryota; Metazoa; Chordata; Mammalia; Rodentia; Heteromyidae.
UGCUCCUCUCUUUAGAAGGUUAUAAAAAAUGUUACAUUAUUCCUUACAGACAGGUGCAAAGAGUAAAUACUCUAUUGCAACCCAGAACUCUUUGCUGAUAUGAGAUUUUGGUACAUGUAAGAAGGAAGAUG